RNAcentral lists this ribosomal RNA (1880 nucleotides) under Pseudomonas tritici. Its description in RNAcentral is "Pseudomonas sp. SWRI145 partial 23S ribosomal RNA". It matches the Rfam family "Bacterial large subunit ribosomal RNA", at positions 1 to 1896 of the family's 2925-position model. The record is from RNAcentral. Lineage: Bacteria; Pseudomonadati; Pseudomonadota; Gammaproteobacteria; Pseudomonadales; Pseudomonadaceae.
GGGUUGUGAGGUUAAGCGACUAAGCGUACACGGUGGAUGCCUAGGCAGUCAGAGGCGAUGAAGGACGUGCUAAUCUGCGAUAAGCGUCGGUAAGGUGAUAUGAACCGUUAUAACCGACGAUUUCCGAAUGGGGAAACCCAGUGCAAUCCGUUGCACUAUCGUUAAGUGAAUACAUAGCUUAACGAAGCGAACCAGGGGAACUGAAACAUCUAAGUACCCUGAGGAAAAGAAAUCAACCGAGAUUCCCCCAGUAGCGGCGAGCGAACGGGGAACAGCCCAGAACCUGAAUCAGCGUAUGUAUUAGUGGAAGCGUCUGGAAAGUCGCAGGGUACAGGGUGAUACUCCCGUACACAAAAAUACAUGCACUGUGAGUUCGAAGAGUAGGGCGGGACACGUGGUAUCCUGUCUGAAUAUGGGGGGACCAUCCUCCAAGGCUAAAUACUCCUGACUGACCGAUAGUGAACCAGUACCGUGAGGGAAAGGCGAAAAGAACCCCGGCGAGGGGAGUGAAACAGAACCUGAAACCGUGUACGUACAAGCAGUGGGAGCCUACUUGUUAGGUGACUGCGUACCUUUUGUAUAAUGGGUCAGCGACUUAUAUUCUGUAGCAAGGUUAACCGUAUAGGGGAGCCGAAGGGAAACCGAGUCUUAACUGGGCGUUAAGUUGCAGGGUAUAGACCCGAAACCCGGUGAUCUAGCCAUGGGCAGGUUGAAGGUUGGGUAACACUAACUGGAGGACCGAACCGACUAAUGUUGAAAAAUUAGCGGAUGACUUGUGGCUGGGGGUGAAAGGCCAAUCAAACCGGGAGAUAGCUGGUUCUCCCCGAAAGCUAUUUAGGUAGCGCCUCGUGAACUCAUCUUCGGGGGUAGAGCACUGUUUCGGCUAGGGGGCCAUCCCGGCUUACCAACCCGAUGCAAACUACGAAUACCGAAGAAUGUUAUCACGGGAGACACACGGCGGGUGCUAACGUCCGUCGUGAAGAGGGAAACAACCCAGACCGCCAGCUAAGGUCCCAAAGUCACAGUUAAGUGGGAAACGAUGUGGGAAGGCACAGACAGCCAGGAUGUUGGCUUAGAAGCAGCCAUCAUUUAAAGAAAGCGUAAUAGCUCACUGGUCGAGUCGGCCUGCGCGGAAGAUGUAACGGGGCUAAACUGUGCACCGAAGCUGCGGCAGCGACGCUUAUGCGUUGUUGGGUAGGGGAGCGUUCUGUAAGCCGUCGAAGGUGUCCUGUGAGGGAUGCUGGAGGUAUCAGAAGUGCGAAUGCUGACAUAAGUAACGAUAAAGCGGGUGAAAAACCCGCUCGCCGGAAGACCAAGGGUUCCUGUCCAACGUUAAUCGGGGCAGGGUGAGUCGACCCCUAAGGCGAGGCCGAAAGGCGUAGUCGAUGGGAAACAGGUUAAUAUUCCUGUACUCGGUGUUACUGCGAAGGGGGGACGGAGAAGGCUAUGUUAGCCGGGCGACGGUUGUCCCGGUUUAAGCAUGUAGGCGGGAAGUUUAGGUAAAUCCGGACUUCUGUUAACGCUGAGGUGUGAUGACGAGGCACUACGGUGCUGAAGUAACAAAUGCCCUGCUUCCAGGAAAAGCCUCUAAGCAUCAGGUAACAUCAAAUCGUACCCCAAACCGACACAGGUGGUCAGGUAGAGAAUACCAAGGCGCUUGAGAGAACUCGGGUGAAGGAACUAGGCAAAAUGGUGCCGUAACUUCGGGAGAAGGCACGCUGAUGGUAGGUGAAGUGACUUGCUCACGGAGCUGAAAUCAGUCGAAGAUACCAGCUGGCUGCAACUGUUUAUUAAAAACACAGCACUGUGCAAACACGAAAGUGGACGUAUACGGUGUGACGCCUGCCCGGUGCCGGAAGGUUAAUUGAUGGGGUUAGCGG